GGGCGGUUGGCGCAAUGGUAGCGCGUUGGUUUUCGGAUUUGAUGCACCAAAGGUUGUGGGUUCGAGCCCCAUGCUGCUCG
Molecule: transfer RNA, 80 nt
Filed under: Neofusicoccum ribis
Lineage: Eukaryota; Fungi; Ascomycota; Dothideomycetes; Botryosphaeriales; Botryosphaeriaceae
Also listed under: 1 other name
Description: tRNA-Arg
Rfam family: tRNA
About the family: Transfer RNA (tRNA) molecules are approximately 80 nucleotides in length. Their secondary structure includes four short double-helical elements and three loops (D, anti-codon, and T loops). Further hydrogen bonds mediate the characteristic L-shaped molecular structure. tRNAs have two regions of fundamental functional importance: the anti-codon, which is responsible for specific mRNA codon recognition, and the 3' end, to which the tRNAs corresponding amino acid is attached (by aminoacyl-tRNA synthetases). tRNAs cope with the degeneracy of the genetic code in two manners: having more than one tRNA (with a specific anti-codon) for a particular amino acid; and 'wobble' base-pairing, i.e. permitting non-standard base-pairing at the 3rd anti-codon position.
Source: RNAcentral